AAUGACAGAGAAGAAAUGCAGUUGUGAUGUGAAGUGAGGGCAUGCAGAAUUCUACCUAUUGUACUUUGCAUUCUCAACAGGAGCCUUGGAAGGGGCGGCAAGGGUGGCAGUUCAGAGACAGACUGCCUGGGCUCGCGUUCUGAUUUGCAGAAGAACUUCCCACACAGGAGCCCAACCCUGGACAGUGACGGUGACCCAUGGAGAAUGCAUCAUGCCUGUCAGGGUCCUGUUGGUUCAGCGGCUGGGGAGGCAGCACCCUGCUGGGAGUGGUCACUUCCCAUGAAGAUGGAUGGCUUUCUCUGUCCCGGCGACACUAACUGCCAGAGGUGGGGGAACCUGCUGUGGGAGGGAAGGGGCGGUUUGUAUUGAGUGGCCGCUAGGCCCAGUGGGGAAGUAUGAGGGGAGCAUGGAGGUUUAUUUCACUGGUUCAAUAACACCAGCCUUGCAGACUGACAAGACUUCUCCCCUCGGUGGGCUAACUGCUCAGCUGCCCACGUGUUUCCUUGCACACUGGUAAAGCCCAGGGGUUACUGGCAUGCAUUUUGGAAUCAGCUGGCUUGUGAAUAAGUCCUUGCUUUGCCGUUUCCUUGGCUGCUAAAUUUGGACCUACUAUUUAACUUCCCUUUGGUCUCUGUUUCUUUAUGAAAUAAUAAUAUCCACCUUAUUAAGUUAUGCUGUGAAGUCUGAGAGACCCGCAUGUGAAGCUGUAAGAGAGGCUAGAGAGCAGGGGCGCCAAGUGUGUUCAGUAAUGGGUCAGCGGAUAAAUCUUUUGGGCUCUGUGGCCCAUAAGAUCUCUGUUGCCGAUACUCAACUCUUCCAGUGUAGCCCCAAAGCAGCCGUAGACAAUAGAUACAUAAUCAGCCAUGGUUGUGUUCUAAUAAAACUUUAUCUAAAAA
Molecule: non-coding RNA, 896 nt
Organism: Macaca mulatta (Rhesus monkey)
Lineage: Eukaryota; Metazoa; Chordata; Mammalia; Primates; Cercopithecidae
Source: RefSeq, a predicted model, not a curated record